Molecule: small nuclear RNA, 141 nt
Organism: Megalops cyprinoides (Indo-Pacific tarpon)
Lineage: Eukaryota; Metazoa; Chordata; Actinopteri; Elopiformes; Megalopidae
Product: U4 spliceosomal RNA
Exons: 1
Source: RefSeq, a predicted model, not a curated record
CUCCCUGUACAGUGGCAGUAUCGUAGCCCAUGAGGUUUGUCCAAGGCACAGUUAUUGCUGAUUGAAGGCUUCACCUAGCUCCCCACCAAGGUGACCUGAAAUACAGUCAGCUUUAGCAAUUUUUGACAGUUUUGGCAGUAG